GAUGAACGCUGGCGGCGUGCCUAAUACAUGCAAGUCGAGCGAACAGACGAGGAGCUUGCUCCUCUGACGUUAGCGGCGGACGGGUGAGUAACACGUGGAUAACCUACCUAUAAGACUGGGAUAACUUCGGGAAACCGGAGCUAAUACCGGAUAAUAUAUUGAACCGCAUGGUUCAAUAGUGAAAGACGGUUUUGCUGUCACUUAUAGAUGGAUCCGCGCCGCAUUAGCUAGUUGGUAAGGUAACGGCUUACCAAGGCAACGAUGCGUAGCCGACCUGAGAGAGGGAUAGGCCACACUGGAACUGGACCGCGGUCCAGACUCCUACGGGAGGCAGCAGUAGGGAAUCUUCCGCAAUGGGCGAAAGCCUGACGGAGCAACGCCGCGUGAGUGAUGAAGGUCUUCGGAUCGUAAAACUCUGUUAUUAGGGAAGAACAAAUGUGUAAGUAACUAUGCACGUCUUGACGGUACCUAAUCAGAAAGCCACGGCUAACUACGUG
Molecule: ribosomal RNA, 497 nt
Filed under: uncultured bacterium
Lineage: Bacteria
Description: partial 16S ribosomal RNA
Rfam family: Bacterial small subunit ribosomal RNA
Source: RNAcentral